GACGAACGCUGGCGGCGUGCUUAACACAUGCAAGUCGUACGAUGAAGCUGGAGCUUGCUCCGGUGGAUUAGUGGCGAACGGGUGAGUAACACGUGAGCAAUCUGCCCCUCACUCUGGGAUAACUGCGGGAAACUGUAGCUAAUACCGGAUACGAGGCUUGGAGGCAUCUCCAGGUCUGGAAAGAAUUUCGGUGAAGGAUGAGCCCGCGGCCUAUCAGCUUGUUGGGGAGGUAAUGGCUCACCAAGGCGACGACGGGUAGCCGGCCGGAGAGGGUGACCGGCCACACUGGGACUGAGACACGGCCCAGACUCCUACGGGAGGCAGCAGUGGGGAAUAUUGCACAAUGGGCGAAAGCCUGAUGCAGCAACGCCGCGUGAGGGAUGAAGGCCUUCGGGUUGUAAACCUCUUUUAGCAGGGAAGAAGCGAAAGUGACGGUACCUGCAGAAAAAGCACCGGCUAACUACGUGCCAGCCGCCGCCGUAA
Molecule: ribosomal RNA, 483 nt
Filed under: uncultured bacterium
Lineage: Bacteria
Description: partial 16S ribosomal RNA
Rfam family: Bacterial small subunit ribosomal RNA
Source: RNAcentral